GGAACAUAGCUCAGUUGGUAGAGUGAUUGCCUCACAUGAACAAGGCCCUGGGUUCAAUCCCUAGUACCA
Molecule: transfer RNA, 69 nt
Filed under: Marmota monax (woodchuck)
Lineage: Eukaryota; Metazoa; Chordata; Mammalia; Rodentia; Sciuridae
Description: tRNA.Val
Source: RNAcentral